This is a long non-coding RNA of Amblyraja radiata (thorny skate), 73 nucleotides long. RefSeq lists it as uncharacterized. The record is from RefSeq and is a predicted model, not a curated record. The transcript is spliced from 3 exons. Lineage: Eukaryota; Metazoa; Chordata; Chondrichthyes; Rajiformes; Rajidae.
UGCACAGAGUCUUUUACCCAAGGUAGGGGAAUCGAAAACAAGAGGAUAUAUGUUUAAGGUGAGGGGGAAAGAU